RNAcentral lists this long non-coding RNA (811 nucleotides) under Citrus sinensis (sweet orange). RNAcentral's name for it is "long non-coding RNA (CSIN_LNC002528)". Lineage: Eukaryota; Viridiplantae; Streptophyta; Magnoliopsida; Sapindales; Rutaceae. The record is from RNAcentral.
AUGACCGUUGACCGACAAGGGCAUUUUGGUAAUUUCACACUAUGAGGGCAAUUUUGUAAUUUCUGAGCCUGUGGAUAUUUUAGUAAUUCCUAGAAUUGAGGAUUGGGGGUAAUUACGAUUCUGAGGGUAAUUCAGUGAUUUAAGAUUUCAGAGCAUGUUAAUGAUCUACAGACUCAAGGGCAUUUUAGUAAUUUUAUGGACACGGGAGUUGUAAAUUAGGGAUAGAUGUUCGUUUCGAGUUUAUUGCAUAAAAUUUAGUCAUAAUUCCGAUUUACGAAAAAUAAUUAUGUCGUUUCCUUGAUUUAGGAGGAUCCGCGAGCGAGAAUCGGUCCGCAGACGUGGACGAUAACCGACCGUGAACACCGUCACUGUGAGUGGAAUAUACAAAACCUAUUUUCAUAGUUAAUUAUGAUGGUAAUGCAUGUUUGUGAAAUACGUAUUUUAAAUGUUCUGAUUUAAUGAUUUCCUCGAAAUGGAUUUUAUUUACGCAUUGGUAUUUUAUUAAAAUGUUUGGUUAUUGAUUUUACGUAUCGACUUUGAAUAAAGCAUGAUAAUAUUUUAAAGAUAAGAAAAGUGGAUUCAAAUGUGGUAUGAUUUAAAAUAUGGUUAAGAGGUAUGUGAAUAUGAGUAUAAUGAUUGUUUUUGAAAUCAUUAGACAGUAACCUUCCCUCCAGAUACAUGUGAUACAAAUGAGAUGAGAGGCUUUUGGGGCCCGUCUGAACACACAUAGAGGCUUUGGGCCGUGUGUUUGGGCGCUUUUGCCUUUUGGGGGCAUAUGCAUGCGGUAUGAUGAUUACAGAGAUACAGAUAU